RNAcentral lists this ribosomal RNA (498 nucleotides) under Triticum aestivum (bread wheat). Its description in RNAcentral is "partial small subunit ribosomal RNA". Lineage: Eukaryota; Viridiplantae; Streptophyta; Magnoliopsida; Poales; Poaceae. The record is from RNAcentral.
AUGUUGGAUCCAUUCCUUUUGAAUUGUCACUAUGUCCAUCAUGAUUCUUGGGAAGAGAUAUUGGCAAUAAUUCACAUUGGACAAUUUAUUUGUGAAAAUGUAUGUCUAUUUAAAUCUCACAUAAAAAAAUACGGUCAAAUUUUCAUUGUAAAUGUGAAUUCCUUUGUUAUAAGAGCAGCUAAACCUUAUUUGGCCACUACAGGAGCAACUGUUACUGGUCAUUAUGGAGAAAUCCUUUACAAGGGAGAUAGGUUAGUUACGUUUAUAUAUGGAAAAUAGAGAUCUAGUGACAUAACACAAGGUCUUCAAAAAGUGGAACAAAUCUUUGAAGUGUGUUCAAUUGAUUCAUUAUCCCUGAAUCUCGAAAGGAGAAUUGAGGAUUGGAAUGAGCGUAUACCAAGAAUUCUUGGGAUGCCUUGGGGAUUCUUGAUUGGAGCUAAGCUAACCAUAGCCCAAAGUCGUAUCUCUUUGGUUAAUGAAAUCCAAAAGGUUUAUUGA